Numida meleagris (helmeted guineafowl) is the source of this 2758-nucleotide long non-coding RNA. RefSeq lists it as uncharacterized. Lineage: Eukaryota; Metazoa; Chordata; Aves; Galliformes; Numididae. The transcript has 4 exons. The record is from RefSeq and is a predicted model, not a curated record.
GAUUCUGUGUUUCUAUGACUGACUUUUCCAACCACAGGGUUGCAGGUGGCUUUCCUGGGUGCAGCUGUUACUGCCGUCCUCACCUCUGUUAGCACUCAGAGAAAUGAAGGGUACCUAUGGAGGAACCACAGUGCCAGUGACUUCCAGCUGUUCAGUGUCCCCAUGUUGUUGGGGCACACACAUGGAAACAGGACCAUCUCUGCAUGGCAUGCUGGGCUUCAUGCACAAUUUCCGUCUUGAAGUUGCUGGGCUACGUGCGCUGAGGAGGAGAGGGAAUUUCCCUUCACCCCACUCUAAACAAUGCAGUUCUUCACAACCAAGAAGAGAUGCUAUCACGAGUGAUAAAGAUGAUCUGUGUGCAAUGGAGAAGCCUCCGAGAGUGAUUCAUGGGACCUAAAGGAGGCAGGCAGCCUGUCUGGAGCUGAGCAAUAGGAACACGAGGCGCAGAAAUGCAGAUGGAAUUUAGCCCCAGUGGUUUAAUAUAAAAGAUCUGCCAGUGUCCAACCCGCUGCUUGGGUGGUUCUUCCAGUGGUAGUUUGUGGUUUCAGUUAUUACUUUCAACAAAAGAAUGACGAUAAUAAAGUCUAAAUUAGUCUUAUGAGGCUCAUAAAAGUUAUAUUCUGUACCAGCUUUGUGUUAGGCACAACCCAGCGGCUUUUAUUUGUGUGAAUGUCCUCAACUUCUGAAAUAUGCACAAUACGUGGAGACACUGGAUUCUACAAGAAACACAAAGACGAAAUCCACAUUUAUUCUGCAUUAAAACACUUGAUGUUAAAUGUCAAAGGCUUGCCAGUAUAAAAUGUUUCUUGCAAACAAAACACUUCAGAUAGAGCAGAAACAAAGUUUUGCUUUGAAUUUACAGCUUGACGCUAUUUUCAAAAAAAAAGCAGCUAUGCUCACAUGACUAGCAGAUAGGCCAGAACAAAAUGAGAGGUUUAGAUAAAUUAUGCUCUUAUGCCAGCUAUUGUGAAAAUCUGAAAACCUACGCAUGCUUGUAAAUAAAUCACACUUACAUGGAAGGAGAUCUCUAAAUACAGUGUGAUUCAUGCAGCUUGAGUAUACAAGAAUAUGCACGACACUGUGCAUUGCAUAGUGUUGGAGUUUCUUUCAGCAUUACUUAUUAACAGACUUGAUGUAUGCAGCAUUUUGAGGAGGCUUUGGUAAGAGCACUGGGGAAUGAGAGUGGCUGUCUACCUGGCAGAUUUUGAGGGAUAAACAUCUGAGUGUCACUUUACUUUCCUUCUCAGUAGCAACUAAUCAAUCUAAUAAUUACCAAAAGGACAUAGUAAAAACUUAGAACAGUCUAAUUGCACUCAAUAAGGACAGAAAUAUGUGGCUAUCCACAGAACAAUGUCCUGGAGGUUUUGAAUCUGCUCACUAUUGUAACAAAGGUCAUCUUCUAUUUUUUUUUUUUUUUGAUUCCUUAUAGUUAUGAAUACUCAGAAAUGAAUUGCUUACAGGCUUAAAGUUAAGUGCAUGCUAAGUGCUUUGCUGGACUGCUGCUUUGCUUAAGUGCUUCGCUACGUUCUCAGUAGACUGUGGACUCAAAUCCUCAUCUGUCUUCCCUGUGAUUUUGGUAUUUAAUCACAUACUCUGUGUCUACAAGACCCUGCAGGAUGAUGGACUCAGCAUCCUGUGCAGCUCCACAUCCUUCUGUAAGAUCUUCCGAUGCCAGGUCAGCACAUGGUUCUGUGCAGAUAUGUAUUUCCACAUCUCCUGGGGCUUGUGUGCCCUCAACCACACCAGGGAGAGUAGAGGUAAGUGGGCUGCCACAGCCCCUCUUGAUGGGGGUCCUGAGGCUGUUGAUAUGAGACAGCAGAGAAGCAGUCCAAGGCACACAGAUCUUGAUUUGAAGCUUGUUAGAGCAGGGAGGUUUCUUGUCCAUUGCCUUCUGAGCGUUUAGAGUCUCAGAUGAGCUCUUGUCAAAAACAAAUGCUCAAAGACAGCACUGACAUGUCUUAUACAUUUUUCACAUUAUUCCAUGGUAAUGAAGACUAUAAACAUCCUUUAUUCAAAGCUGAAAGAUGAGAUUUGGGAAUGCAAAUCUUUGGCAAAUUUGGUAAGGAAGUUGCCUGGAGCAUUGAAUUUGGCUGAUGAGCAUAGUUGCAGGCUUGCGAGCCAGAAAGGGGCAGUGUCAGCAAACACGACAGGGAAAAGCAAAGAGCUCAGCUUUGCACACAUCUACCCUGGGAACCUGCUUUUGGCCCCAUUCAUCGAUCAGCACAUGCUUGAAUGCUUCCUUAAACUGGUGCUCUGAAACAACACAAACCAUGUGCUCCAAGGGAGGAAAGGAACUCCUGAGACUUCUGCAGCCUGAAUUUUGAGCAUCAAACACUAACAUCAUUAAUUGCUUCCAACCGAGCUAGCAGAGCCAGAGUGAUGCGCACACAUCUGUGCAUGAGCAGCUCACAUUGAAUGCAUUUAAGAACAUUGGGGCAAGCCUAUCUGGAAGGCCAGUAACAUUCACUAGGCAAAUCAGCCGCUGCCAAUUAUUCACUGUGCUGUAAUUCAGAACACUGUCCUUAUGUUAGAGAUUUCGUGAUCAUGGCCCCAAUUCAGAAAGACUCUGGCUCUGCACGGGGUUUCUGCAUAUGAAGGACACCUAUUUUCAUUGGAGGAGGCAACUGUCAGAUUUUGGCCCCCGUGAAGUUUGUUUGUGAAAGGAAAAUUUUAAAUCCAUUCUUUGACUUGGAAAACAACUGAGUUUGUGACUCAUCUUGCCAUUUGAAGAGACAAAUUAAUGAACUCUAAUAACACA